UUAAGAGAGCCGAAUGGCUACUAGAUUUCUUAUUUGGAUAUUUAAGUGACCAGACUGGAGGUAAGGUCCCUGGUCGAGCUUUGCUCUCGGGGCGCCAGUCUUAUUGGAUAAGAGAGCCAAAAGGCUAAGGCUGAGAGUUAAGUGACCGGACUGGAUGUAAGGUCCCUAGUCGAGCUUUGCUCUCUGGGCGCCAGUCUUGUUGGAAUGAGAGGUUUGAGAUGUUAGAGUUGAGGUUAGUUGAGACAUAAGUGUUGAAAUAAUCGAGAUUUUAGAGUUGGGAUUAGAGUUCUACUGAAGUACUCUGUCCCGUUGCAUGUGGAAUAAAUUU
RNAcentral lists this long non-coding RNA (328 nucleotides) under Ricinus communis (castor bean). RNAcentral's name for it is "long non-coding RNA (RCOM_LNC001704)". Lineage: Eukaryota; Viridiplantae; Streptophyta; Magnoliopsida; Malpighiales; Euphorbiaceae. The record is from RNAcentral.